RNAcentral lists this long non-coding RNA (6219 nucleotides) under Homo sapiens (human). Its description in RNAcentral is "PREDICTED lncRNA (TCONS_00007104)". The record is from RNAcentral. Lineage: Eukaryota; Metazoa; Chordata; Mammalia; Primates; Hominidae.
GAUCUCCACGUCUUGGAGGCCGCCGGCAUAGGUGUGCGCCUGGCAGAACCUCACAAAUACACAUGCACGCAGGCCCCGACUGAAUCCAGGGCUGUAGGGGCUAAAGAGGUCUAGGUCAGUAGAGGCCUGAAGCCCAGGCUGGUCUGUCCAAGGAAAAAGGAGCGUGAUUGGUACCAGAUCUUCGUUCCCUGCAGAACCUUGACAGUUGAACAAGUGACCUCCUCCAGAACAGAUGGAGAGUCUCCAGAAGCAGAGGCUUUAGUGAACGAAAUUCGCAAUAAUCAGCUCCAGAUCCUGAAAAGGAGGGCGAAGAAUCAGUGGCCAAAGCUAACCGCUUCAUACCCACACUUCAUCCUCCUCAGUUUCUCUCCAGGCCACCAUGUCUGCAGGCAACGGCACCCCUUGGGGUCAGCAGCGGGGGAGGAGGUCUGGGCUGGAUCAGGAGUGGAGGUGGAGGGCUCAGAGCUGCCCACCUUCUCGGCAGCAGCCAAGGUCCGAGUGGGAGUGACCAUUGUGCUGUUUGUUUCUUCGGCUGGAGGGAACCUGGCAGUCCUGUGAUGCCACCUGGAAUAUCACUGUUCAAUGGCUGGCUGUGGACAUCGCAUGUCGGACACUGAUGUUCCUGAAACUAAUGGCCACGUAUUCUGCAGCUUUCCUGCCUGUGGUCAUUGGAUUGGACCGCCAGGCAGCAGUACUCAACCCGCUUGGAUCCCGUUCAGGUGUAAGGAAACUUCUGGGGGCAGCCUGGGGACUUAGUUUCCUGCUUGCCUUCCCCCAGGUGAGUGACCUAGGACUCAGGACCGGGCAGGACAGGGAUUUGGGUCCAUAGCAUGAGUUAAAGGGUGCGCUUGGGGGCCAUUAGCCAUUAAUUCUCAGGGAGUAAGCCUCUGCUUGCUUUUUUUUUUUUUUGCCGGCUCACUGCAACCUCCGCCUCCCGGGUUCAAGCAAUUCUCCUCCCUCAGCCUCCCGAGAAGCUACAGGCGCCCGCUACCAUGCCCGGCUAAUUUUUGUAUUUUUAGUAGAGGCGAGGUUUCACCAUGUUGGCCAGGUGGUCUCCAUCUCUUGACCUCAUGAUCCACCUGUCUCAGCCUCCCAAAGUGCUGAGAUUACAGGCGUGAGCCACCGCACCCUGCUACCUCUGCUCUCUCUUCUGUAAGAUUAUUUGUAUGUUAAUUUACAUCUGUUAAGAGCCUGCCUUUUCGAUUCCUCAGGGAUCUAGAACUAGAAAUACCAUUUGACCCAGCCAUCCCAUUACUGGGUAUAUACCCAAAGGACUAUAAAUCAUGCUGCUAUAAAGACACAUGCACACAUGUUUAUUGCGGCACUAUUCACAACAGCAAAGACUUGGAACCAACCCAAAUGUCUAAUAAUGAUAGACUGGAUUAAGAAAAUGUGGCACAUAUACACCAUGGAAUACUAUGCAGCCGUAAAAAAUGAUGAGUUCAUGUCCUUUGUAGGGACAUGGAUGAAAUUGGAAAUCAUCAUUCUCAGUAAACUAUUGCAAGGACAAAAAACCAAACACCGCAUGUUCUCACUCAUAGAUGGGAAUUGAACAAUGAGAACACAUGGACACAGGAAGGGGAACAUCACACUCUGGGGACUGUUGGGGGGUGGGGGGAGGGGGGAGGGAUAGCAUUAGGAGAUAUACCUAAUGCUAAAUGACGAGUUAAUGGGUGCAGCACACCAGCAUGGCACAUGUAUACAUAUGUAACUAACCUGCACAUUGUGCACAUGUACCCUAAAACUUAAAGUAUAAUAAUAAUAAUAAUAAUAAAAGAGCCUGCCUUGUAAAAACAGUAUCCUCUAUCUGUGCCUCUUCCAUUACAUCUGUUUUAUUACACGUGGUUUCUACCUCUUUGCAUCCUCCCAAUCUCACCUCCUUCAGAUUGGGGCAGGGAAGAAAAACAUACAUGGGGAUCUAUUAAGAGAGUGAAGUCAGUGGUUUGGGUAAAACUUUGUGGUACAUUUCAUUUAUCCAUUCAAAAAGUAAUAUGCAUCUCCAGCGCCACUCAAAUUUUGCUAAGGACAGGGCAGCAAAAUCCUGCCUUCAAGAAAUGUAUAGACUACUGCAAGAAACAAAGAAAUUAGGCAAUUACAAUAUAGUGUAUUCAAAAGUGUUAUGCUAAAGGAGCUAAAGAAGACAAUGGGGGUGGGGAGUGGAUAGGGGUGUCUGACACAGCCGUGCAGUCAGGAAAAGCUUUCCAGAUGUUAAAAUUUGAUUCUUCAGAGAUAGGUGUUAGACCAAUUAAAAUAGGAGAAAUGCUAGGGAGGAUGGAGGAUAGAGGAUCUCAAUGCUACUAAAGCUGAGGACUAGAAAAUGGUGAGUAAUGAACUGAGAGGGGAAGAGCAAGCCAGAUCACAAAUAAUAAAAUUGUACUUUAUUCUGAGUGCAGUGGAGAGACACUAAAGUAAAAAGAGAGUGACAUAACCAAAUUUGUGUUUUUUACUGACUUUAUUGUCGAAUGAGUGUUAAAAUUGCAAAGAGGCGAGCAUCUGAACCUGAGUACUAGGUUAAUCAAAUCUCAAAUCCAAUCCAAUACUGAAAAGGAACUAGAAAUCUAGAGGGGGAAAAGCUAAAUACAAAGCAAUUCCUUCAAGGCAAAAACCACUAUCACUAUCAUGGGGUUGGGGGGCAGGAUACAACAGCAUCUCUGAGACUGUAGGAUUAGAAUUAUGUCAGAAGGAGGCCAAGAAGGGUCUAGGAUUUAUCUCUGGAAUGACAAUGCAUUAUACUGAUUUAAGAUUUGAUCCUUACUUACAUCCUCAAUUAUUAGAAAUAUAACUACUAGAAGUUAGUCUGACUAUACUCCUAAGAACAAAGAAAGGCCUGGUGGCUCAAGCCUGUAAUCCCAGCAUUUUGGAAGGCCAAGGUGGGUGGAUCACUUGAGGUCAGGAGUUUAAGACCAACCUGGCCAACAUGACGAAACCCCAUCUCUACUAAAAAUACAAAAAUUAGCCGGGUAUAGUGGUGAGCACCUGUAAUCCCAACUACUCAGGAGGCUGAGGCACGAGAAUUGCUUGAACCUGGGAAGUGGAGGCUGCAGUGAGCCAAGACUGCACCACUGCACUCCGGCGUGGGCGGCAGAGCCAGACUCUGUUGGGGGUGGGGUGGGGGGGAAAGAGAAAAAUAAUACUUCUAAUAUGUUGCAAACAAGACCUUUACCAAUCCAAGUGUUAAAAAGAAGCCUGUUGCUACAGUGCCAUUUACAAUUAGGUUUGUUUAUAUGAAGCAAAUUUUACAUGUGGACUGGGAAUUAGAAGACUUUUUGUUUCAGUCUGCCUGUUUUACUUUGUUUUUUUCUGAGUCUCGGCUCUACUGCUAACUAGCUAUAUGAUUUUGGCUAAGGCACUUGAAAUCCAUGGGCCACAAGAUGAUGCAAUGGGAAAUGAAUUUCAUCCUUUCUUACAGCCUGACAAUCUGACAAUAUUUGCAACCUCUAUUUGUUUCAAUGGCAAACUGGUUGUGACAUGAUACAUGUGCGAAAGGUGAUUUUUUUUGUUCCAAAUUAGUAUCCUUUUAGGUAAAUUCUGUAUUGCCCAUAUGCUGUAAUUGUAGUUAAAAUAUUAGUGUUAAUAAAAUAAAAAAUUUAAUAAUGUCACGUUAGAGUGGUAAGGGCUUAGGGGUAGUUAUAGGUAGUAUUAGGAGUAGUUAGAAAUUACUUAUUUUUGUAGGCUUGUUUCCAAGUUAUCAGCAGUUGAAAGGGAUGUUUCUACAGUACGUGGUAAAUGGCAAUAAAACAGGAUAAAGGAAAGAUCAAAACAAGGCUGUGGACCAAACUAUAAAUCCAAGAGCUUUGAUUAUUAUUUUUUUUUUUUUUGGAGACAGUCUUACUCUGUCGCCCAGGCUGGAGUGCAAUGGCGCAAUCUCUGCUCACUGCAAGCUCCGCCUCCUGGGUUCAGGUCAUUCUCCUGCCUCAGCCUCCCGAGUUCCCAAGUAGCUGGGACUACAGGCACCUACCACCACGCCCGGCUAGUUUUUUGUAUCUUUAGUACAGACAGGGUUUCACUGUGUUAGCCAGGAUGGUCUCCAUCUCCUAACCUCGUGAUCCGCCCGCCUCAGCCUCCCAAAGUGCUGGGAUUACAGGCGUGAGCCACCGCGCCCAGCCAGCUUUGACUAUUUUUAUACUCCUCACAAUUCUCAAGCACUUCUUAGGCAGAGCACAAAAACAAAAACAAAAAAAAAAACUUAGAAAUAUAUGAAUGCAAGAGAUGGGAAGAGGAAAGACCAUUUCCCAACUAGCUCAGAGUAGCCUGAUCGUAACUCCAAACAGUUCACAAAAUUCUCUUAGGCUGAAACUAUUCAUCUUUCCUAAAUGUCCCUCAUGUCUGCUAAAAUCACUUUCCCAAAUGCCUUGUAUCUAGGAAUCUGAUGCCUACUGAGCUUACCUUUUAUCAAAUUAAUAGUGACUCAAUCUCCAUUACUGGAAAGCAGGCACUUUAACCUUGUAGCUCUAAACAGAAAUAGUUUUUACUGAUUCAGUUGGAAAACCCAGCAAUUUAACAAAAAGGGGGAGGGGCAGCCCAAUAGCAUUUGGAAAAUGUUAAAUUUUAUUAUUUAACAUUCUUUACCAUUAUAGUUACUGCACAUAAGACUAUUACUACUAAAGGUCACUUCAGAGUCCCUGCAAAAUGGCCUGGAAUUUUGGCAGCACCCAUUUUACACAAUAUUUCUUUUUCCACAAAAUAACAGACAUACCAGGAAAAUCAUUUCAGCUAAAAAUAUGAGUGAGGUGGUAGAAAUAUCAUCCCUUAUAAAGCGCAAUGUUAGAAUAGUACUUGAGAAAGCAGGAUUGUUUUAAGUUCCAAGAUUUAACAAACUUACUGUUCAGCAUCAUAUUCAAGCCUAAAAGGAAGAUAGGAUUUUCAAGAUAUAUUUCCAACUUCUUUAACAUGGCACCAUGGAUGAACUGUUUCUCAGCACUGUGCUGCUUCACUUGGAAUUAAGGAUGAAUUGGGAGGAGACAGUAUGACAUAGGUGGGUAGGUUGGGUGGUGAGGGGAACCAGUUCUAAUAGUCCUCAACUCCACUCCAGCUGUUCCUGUUCCACACGGUCCACUGAGCUGGCCCAGUCCCUUUCACUCAGUGUGUCACCAAAGGCAGCUUCAAGGCUCAAUGGCAAGAGACCACCUAUAACCUCUUCACCUUCUGCUGCCUCUUUCUGCUGCCACUGACUGCCAUGGCCAUCUGCUAUAGCCGCAUUGUCCUCAGUGUGUCCAGGCCCCAGACAAGGAAGGGGAGCCAUGGUGAGACUCCAAUUCCCAGGCCUUAAUCCUUAACCCUAGACCUGUUGCCUCUAGCAUCAUUUAUUUAUCUACCUACCUAAUAGCUAUCUACCAGUCACUAAACCAUGGUGAGAUUCUAACCAUGUCUAGCACCUGAUGCUAGAGAUAAUUUUGUUGAAUCCCUUCAAUUAUAAACAGCUGAGUUAGCUGGACAAGGACUAGGGAGGCAAUCAGUAUUAUUUAUUCUUGAACACCAUCAAGUCUAGACUUGGUGGCUUCAUAUUUCUAUCAUAAUCCCUGGGGGUAAGAAAUCAUAUAGUCCCAGGUUGGGAAGGGGAAAACGGUUUGCAACAUUCUCCUCCUUGUAGGAGGCGAGCUCUGUCUCACUAGCUAUGCCCCUCCAUCAAUUCACCCUAUACUCAGAUCAGAAGCUGAGUGUCUGAAUUACAGUAUAUUUUCUAAAUUCCUAGCCCCUGCUGGUGAAUUUGCCCUCCCCCGCUCCUUUGACAAUUGUCCCCGUGUUCGUCUCCGGGCCCUGAGACUGGCCCUGCUUAUCUUGCUGACCUUCAUCCUCUGCUGGACACCUUAUUACCUACUGGGUAUGUGGUACUGGUUCUCCCCCACCAUGCUAACUGAAGUCCCUCCCAGCCUGAGCCACAUCCUUUUCCUCUUGGGCCUCCUCAAUGCUCCUUUGGAUCCUCUCCUCUAUGGGGCCUUCACCCUUGGCUGCCGAAGAGGGCACCAAGAACUUAGUAUAGACUCUUCUAAAGAAGGGUCUGGGAGAAUGCUCCAAGAGGAGAUUCAUGCCUUUAGACAGCUGGAAGUACAAAAAACUGUGACAUCAAGAAGGGCAGGAGAAACAAAAGGCAUUUCUAUAACAUCUAUCUGAUCCUAACAGAGUAUGUAGGAACAGAAUAGUAAGUCUUUAGUGCCAUAAGAUCUUAACAUCUCACUUCUACUCCUGCUCUCCUAGUUCCCCCCAAAAAAGAAAUACUGA